This 493-nucleotide ribosomal RNA is filed under the name uncultured bacterium. RNAcentral's name for it is "bacterial SSU rRNA". It matches the Rfam family "Bacterial small subunit ribosomal RNA", at positions 903 to 1397 of the family's 1533-position model. The record is from RNAcentral.
AAAUGAAUAGACGGGGGCCCGCACAAGCAGUGGAGUAUGUGGUUUAAUUCGAAGCAACGCGAAGAACCUUACCAGGGCUUGACAUAUACAGGAAUACUUAAGAGAUUAAGUAGCUCUUCGGAGUCUGUAUACAGGUGGUGCAUGGUUGUCGUCAGCUCGUGCCGUGAGGUGUUGGGUUAAGUCCCGCAACGAGCGCAACCCCUGUUCUUAGUUGCCAGCAUGUAAAGAUGGGAACUCUAAGAAGACUGCCGUAGAUAAUACGGAGGAAGGUGGGGAUGACGUCAAAUCAUCAUGCCCUUUAUGUCCUGGGCUACACACGUACUACAAUGGAUGUUACAGAGGGAAGCUAAAUAGUGAUAUGGAGCGAAACCCAAAAAGCAUCCCCAGUUCGGAUUGUAGGCUGAAAUUCGCCUACAUGAAGCCGGAAUUGCUAGUAAUGGCAGGUCAGCAUACUGCCGUGAAUACGUUCCCGGGCCUUGUACACACCGCCCGU